RNAcentral lists this ribosomal RNA (465 nucleotides) under Vreelandella stevensii. Its description in RNAcentral is "partial 16S ribosomal RNA". It matches the Rfam family "Bacterial small subunit ribosomal RNA", at positions 338 to 795 of the family's 1533-position model. Lineage: Bacteria; Pseudomonadati; Pseudomonadota; Gammaproteobacteria; Oceanospirillales; Halomonadaceae. The record is from RNAcentral.
CCUACGGGUGGCAGCAGUGGGGAAUAUUGGACAAUGGGGGCAACCCUGAUCCAGCCAUGCCGCGUGUGUGAAGAAGGCCCUCGGGUUGUAAAGCACUUUCAGUGAGGAAGAACGCCUGGUGGUUAAUACCCAUCAGGAAAGACAUCACUCACAGAAGAAGCACCGGCUAACUCCGUGCCAGCAGCCGCGGUAAUACGGAGGGUGCGAGCGUUAAUCGGAAUUACUGGGCGUAAAGCGCGCGUAGGUGGCUUGAUAAGCCGGUUGUGAAAGCCCCGGGCUCAACCUGGGAACGGCAUCCGGAACUGUCAAGCUAGAGUGCAGAAGAGGAAGGUAGAAUUCCCGGUGUAGCGGUGAAAUGCGUAGAGAUCGGGAGGAAUACCAGUGGCGAAGGCGGCCUUCUGGACUGACACUGACACUGAGGUGCGAAAGCGUGGGUAGCAAACAGGAUUAGAUACCCUAGUAGUC